AAAUUGAUUCCUUUUUUACAUUUGAUUUAAGAAUAAUGAAAGAACUUGUGUCUUUAUUUUGUUGAUGCUGUUAUAGAUUGGAGGAGAGACAGAGAGCUGAAAAAAGAAUCCGUGAGGCCAAAGAUGAUAUGUUUACUCCAAAAUGGUUUGACCUUAGUGAUGAAGUCACCCCUACUCCUUGGGGUGACUUGGAAGUGUACCGGUACAAUGGCAAGUAUUCUGAACUUCGGGCUACUCUAGAUAAUUCAGAAAGCCUUGGAGAGAUUAACCCUGAGACAACCGAAUUCAACCCGUGGCAAUAUGAAGACUCGGCUGCUGAAUGAGUAAAUCACGCAAU
This 337-nucleotide long non-coding RNA is filed under the name Citrus maxima (pomelo). Its description in RNAcentral is "long non-coding RNA (CMAX_LNC002740)". The record is from RNAcentral. Lineage: Eukaryota; Viridiplantae; Streptophyta; Magnoliopsida; Sapindales; Rutaceae.